Molecule: long non-coding RNA, 688 nt
Organism: Actinia tenebrosa (Australian red waratah sea anemone)
Lineage: Eukaryota; Metazoa; Cnidaria; Anthozoa; Actiniaria; Actiniidae
Source: RefSeq, a predicted model, not a curated record
GAUGAAUCAAAUUACUGUUAUGAAAAUGCAACGAGUUCUCAAUCAGGAAAACAUUACUCAACGAUCAAGCUGAAGUUGUGCGUUUGCUGAAAAAUUCGUUGCUUUAUCUUUUGGAUAUAUACAUUUUCCAGGUUUCAACAGCUAAAUCAGAGCAUCAGCGCCCCUUGAGCAGUUAAUUGAAGCCACCUCAGAAUGGAUCGACUGACAGCUAAAUGGAUUAUGAUCGUAGCUGUAGCCUUUAUCUCGCUGGGAGCCAUUGGCCUCUAUGCAUAUUCCCUAUCUCCCUUGAGCAAAUCGUCUGAUGGAGGAUAUAAUUUUGACAACACAUAUGACGCCUUGGGGAUAGGCGCGACCUUGUUUGCACUAGGAAGUCUUAUUCUGAUUGGCCAGUUCAUUUAUCUUUGCUGUUGUGGGUCAUCUCGAAUCCGUAAUAGUGAAGAAACAAAACCAAUACGCCCAUGACCAUAAUGGCUGCGCAUAAUCGGAGCUUUUUAUAACCAAGACUAGGACAAAAACCUCAUACUACACUGCUUGCUUAUGCAUAAACUUUCUUUAUAGAUUUUUUUUAAAACGUAGAGUUUACUAAAAAAGCGUUUUUAGAAAUAAUGAUCAGUUAUGAGUCUGAACACUGAUUUUGAGCCAAAACGACCACAAGAGAUUUACUCAGAAAUAAAAACUAUAUUGCUAA